AGCAGCCGCGGUAAUUCCAGCUCCAAUAGCGUAUAUUAAAGUUGUUGCAGUUAAAAAGCUCGUAGUUGAAUUUCGGGAUCAAUAUGUUUGGUCGUGCCUCGGUACGUACUAGCUUAUUGGUUUCUCCUUUCUGAAGAACCAUGAUGUCAUUCAUUUGGUGUCGUGGGGAAUCAGGACUGUUACUUUGAAAAAAUUAGAGUGUUUAAAGCAGGCUCACGCUUGAAUACAUUAGCAUGGAAUAAUGAAAUAGGACGUUUGAUUCUAUUUUGUUGGUUUUCUAGGAUCGACGUAAUGAUUAAUAGGGAUAGUUGGGGGCAUUAGUAUUCAAUUGUCAGAGGUGAAAUUCUUGGAUUUAUUGAAGACUAACUACUGCGAAAGCAUUUGCCAAGGAUGUUUUCAUUAAUCAAGAACGAAAGUUAGGGGAUCGAAGACGAUCAGAUACCGUCGUAGUCUUAACCAUAAACUAUGCCGACUAG
This 476-nucleotide ribosomal RNA is filed under the name uncultured Glomus. RNAcentral describes it as "SSU rRNA". It matches the Rfam family "Eukaryotic small subunit ribosomal RNA", at positions 569 to 1049 of the family's 1831-position model. The record is from RNAcentral. Lineage: Eukaryota; Fungi; Glomeromycota; Glomeromycetes; Glomerales; Glomeraceae.